This 8460-nucleotide unclassified non-coding RNA is filed under the name Neodiprion lecontei (redheaded pine sawfly). RNAcentral describes it as "n-alpha-acetyltransferase 25, NatB auxiliary subunit, transcript variant X1". The record is from RNAcentral. Lineage: Eukaryota; Metazoa; Arthropoda; Insecta; Hymenoptera; Diprionidae.
AAAGACGGUUACGAUAGCAUGGACUGGUAUACAUAUGUCUUCAGUCAACGAUGAUGGUGUUUUGUGUGCUUACGGGCUUGCAUUUUAAACGGCUCCCGCCGAUAAAAAAGCUACCGCAGAGUAUUGGUCCAAAAGAUUCCAGAAAUAACCAUCUUGAACUUCUUCCAUCGACGACCCAAAGGCUGGCAAUACUGAUUCCAUAAGCCAUAGGCGUAGAAGGACUUGUAAGUCUGGUUAAAUCCACCUGCGCUCGAAAUACAUAACAACAAAAAAGUGUCAUGGCGUCCAAGGCCCAUGUGGACAACACGGUGAAUGAACGCCGACUAAGACCGAUUUAUGACUGGCUGGAUCAUGGAAAUAAUAAAAAAGCUCUUCAAGAAGCCGAAAAGGUGCUUAAAAAACAGCCGAGUAAUCAAUGCGCCAGAGUCCUCAAGGCACUGGCUUUACUUCGUCUUGGCAAGGAAGAUAAUUGCCAGAUGAUAAUGGAAGAAGUACGUGCUGAGGUUCCCUGCGAUGAUUCUACCCUUCAGGCCAUGAGUAUCUGUUAUCGGGAAAUACAUAAACCGGAUAAAAUCAGUGAGUUGUACGAAGCAGCAGUCAAAGCAGAUCCAACCAACGAAGAACUUCUUACGCAUCUAUUUAUGUCCUACGUGCGUCUAUGUGAUUUUAAAAAACAACAGCAAACAGCGGUUGCUCUUUACAAGCUGAAGCCCAGGAAUCCUUAUUAUUUUUGGGCUGUGAUGAGCGUAGUAAUGCAAGCUAUGCAAGCUGAUGAAAGGUUGGCAAAAGCUGUUGUACUACCACUUGCUGAGAGAAUGGUAUUGAAAAUGGUGAAUGAAGGCAGAAUUGAAGCAGAACAAGAAGUUCAUUUGUACCUUAUGGUGUUGGAACUUCAAGGAAAAGAGGAGGCAAUUAUGGAGGUUUUAACAGGACCUCUUGCCUUCCGUUUAUCAUCUCUCCCUCAACGACGAGCCACACUUAUGUUGCAGUUGCAUCGAUACUCGGAAGCAGCUAGUACCUUUAAAGAACUGAUGCAUGAAGACAUUGACAACUGGACCUAUUAUCGUGACUACUUAGCAGCUGCACUAAAAUCAGAAACACCACAAAAGUGCUUGGAUCUUUUAAACGAGAUUAUUGCAACAAAGGGUGAGAAAGCAAGAGCUCCUCGACUUGCCCGUUUUGAACUGCUGAAACAUGCACGCUUAUUAAAAAUUGAGCUGAACUCGCUUGAUUCUACACAACUGAUGCACCAAUAUUUUACGCAGUUCGGGGAGAAAGGAUGUGUAGUUGGAGACUUGAAAUUGUACUUACACCUUCUAAAGCCAGAUGAACGACUGCAUUUAAUUAAAAAGCUUGAGCAAGACGUGGCUGUUGGUGCCGAUGAUUAUCCUACUACCAUAGGACAGAUGCAAAGACACAUUCAUUUAGAGCAAUUACGACGCAUAUGUGGCCUACAUCAUUCUCCUACGACUAGUAUAGAAGAGAGAAUCAGUUUGGCAGAUCGUCUAUGUGACCUUCAUAAAAAGGGAAAUGCACUUUGUCCUGCAAGCGAUCGAUUGCCAACUGACUUCUGUCCUGCUGAUGCAUAUGGUCUUUUGGCCACUCACUUGUUUCAUCAGCUUUGGGUUGAAACGCAAGAAGCGUUGUACCUUUACAGGGCAAUGGCACUACUAGAGCAAAGUCUUGUGUCAAGUCCUUCCAACUUUCACACAAAAAUUUUACUGGUACGAAUUUAUCUUGAAGCUGGUCUUGUUGGGGCAGCUAAUCAUAUAUUCGCGUUACUAGACGUCAAACAUAUACAGUUGGAUUCAUUGGGGCACCUGCAUGCCCCACUUCUUGCACCCUUGGGACAUUUAUCACAGGCAUCUUCAACUCUCGAUCAUGCUGCAAAGUUCUUCGUAACAAAUUACAAAGAUAGCGCAGACCAUUUAACAUUUGCUUAUAAGUAUGGCAGUUUCGUAAAAAUCCAAGAGUUUGUGGAACUAAGGAAACGAUUGGAUAAUUCAUUACAUUUUGCGAUGACAACUGUGGAUAAAAUGUUACUCGAGCUUAGUUGGUGCGAUAGUCCUAAUAUCCUCUCCGUCAUGCUCACUUCUAUGCGGAUACAACCCCAUGAAGAUUCAAUUAGAUGGAACCUCAUCAGAGACAAUAGAGACCUUGAGGUGGUUGUUGGAUGGGAGCCUUUAGAUAGCUAUGAGAAAGACCCUCGUUUUCGAGAAGAGACUGUAUCCUGUAUGCUGGUAUUACUUUCUGCUCGCAAUUUACUAUUGCGGAUAGUCGCAGCAGCAGCUGAAACUGAAUCAUCGCCACUUUUAGCUCAACUGGGUACUGAGCUUGAGAAGUUGCAACAAGAACGUAUUCCUGAGGUUUUAGGUCAUUUACAAGAUCGGGGAAGCAGUGCACAGAGCAUUUUGGUACCUUUAGAUGCGAUAGAGCGUUUGAAAGAAGCUCAUGAGUCGGAACAAUUGAAAAUCAUUGCACGACUUGCAAAGUGUCUAUCACGCUCUUCGUCUCCUGAUUCUCAGUGCCUACAGGACUUGGAUGCAACCCCAGGCCUUCGAACUCUUCCAAUGCCGUGUCAACAAACUCCAGCUUCAUACAAACGAUUUCUUAUGAGAGCAGUGACAUGUGGUGAAACACUCGCAUUGAUUGGGGCUGUAUGCUGUGGUUAUACCACAUCUCAAACUCCAUCCUCAAAUAAAAAAAAUAAUAAAAAGUCGGGCAAAAAAAUCAAAUCACCUCAGCCUGAUCAAUUAACGGAUGGUUGGAAAGACAUAGGAAACUUACUAGUGGAAAGAGCUAGUGUAUUGGAUUCAGUUCUUUCAAUGUUAGAAAAGGUACAAUUGCAAACAGGGCUGGAUUCUGAAGAAGCCGUAACAGCAACUGUGGUACAACGUAGUCAAGAAAGCAUCGCACAAAGUUCUAGGGAGAUUAAGUCUCGUGUGCAGUUAACUAUAAAACUAUUAAAUAGCCUGAAUAGUUGAAAAUAUUAGAAAAACGUCUGUACAAAGAUCAUCCAUCAAUUCGUUCACUGGUCUGAGAGUGCCAUCUUGUUAUUUAUGUACAUAAGGCUUCGCCACAGCAAACCAAUACCCAUGAGAUUAUAUCUGUCGUAGGCAUCUAAUAAAAUCAGGCAUUUAAUUAAAAGCCUAGUCAUCUAAUUAAAUGCCGGCAUUUAAUGAAAAUCGUAUUGAUGUCUUUCAUUUACCAUUAUCUGUCUAGGGAUUAACUUAAAUGCCGGCAUCUAAUUGAAUGCCAGCCGGAUCUUCAGGCAAAUAAUAAAAAAAGCAAAUGUAUAUCCACGCACGAUCCGCCCGUGUUUACCACGCAUGUUCACCUAGCGACAGUUUGAAAACAAAUAUUAUGCCCAAUUAAUUCAAAUAGAAGCAGUCGGUCAGUAACCGUGAUUGAGUAUACAGAUUCGCCAAUUUAUAAAUGAUUGGAAAUUCUUGAAAAUGGAGAGAAGUGGUGUUUGUGAAGAAACAUUUUUGCAAAAAAUCAAGCAUAUCAUGGAUUUCAAUAAUGGAAAAAGAGUGAUGUGGGAUUGUGAGCACUUUGAAAAAGUGAAAACGAUUUUGAGUAGACCGGAAGCGAAAGCAGAUAUGUCUCACUACUACUACUUCAAGAAAUAUGAAUUGUUGCAAAUCGGGUCUGUGAGUAGUAUUGUCUUGAAGCGGAGUAGCGAGAGUGACGAUUUAGUCUAUAUGGUUCCAGUAGAAGGUUAUUUCGAGAAAUUGUUAGAAGCUCACAAUCAAACUGGCCAUGGAGGUCGAGAUAAGAUGCUGUACUACAUGAAACAAAAAUGGCGCAUCCCCAAGAGUGCAUGUGAGAUAUUUAUUAGUUGUUGUGAGACAUGCAAUCGAAAAAAGUCAACGGCAAGAAAGGGCGUAGUUGUCAACCCAAUUUUUUCCUGGGGGUUCAACACUCGCGGUAAGGUCGACUUGAUUGAUUUCCAGUCAUGCCCCGAUGGAGAAUACAAGUGGCUUAUGAACUACCAGGACCACGCUACAAAAUUUAUACAUCUACGUCCUUUACAAUCCAAACACGCGGCUAAUGUAGCAGAAGAAUUGUCAAAAAUUUUCUUCACGUUUGGAGCUCCAGCUAUCUUACAGAGCGAUAAUGGCCGAGAAUUCGCUGCAAAUGUUGUCAGAGAACUUGUUUCUCUUUGGCCGAGCUGCAAGAUGGUUCACGGUCGUCCCAGACAUCCACAAACACAAGGAAGUGUGGAACGAGCCAACGCUGAUGUAGAAAAUAUGUUGCGAGCGUGGAUGAUUGAUAAUAAAUCGAAUGAAUGGGCAAGAGGCUGUUACGAAGUGCAGUGGCUGAAAAACACUUCGAAACACCGGGUAAUUAACAGGACGCCUUAUGAAGCUAUGUUCGAACCUAUAAAAAAUGGCGUGGCGAGUUUUAAUUUGCCCCGCGACGUUAUCGCCAAUUUAAAUACGGAAGAAGACUUGGAAAACGCUCUCCGAUUGCUCAGCGAUUCGGAUCAACAACAGCAACACCAAGAUAAUCCAACGGUACUGAGUACACAGGAAAAAACCCAGGAGCAUAUUUGUAUUGUUUGUGAAUCUGGUGUAUCACUUGAAAACGCAGUGACAUGUCAUGAAUGUGAUCUGGAAACGCACAUUAAUUGUGGGACCUUGGCCGAUCAAGAUACAUUUUUUUGCUCGUUAUGCUCAAGAAAAAAACAUAUCCAUGAUGUACAGGAAGAUUGCCAUAGGAGGCAGAAAUUGGCAGCAAAUAAAAUGGUGACAUUUUCUACUGAGAAAUUUCCAGAAUUGGCUGCUGGAGAUUGCAUUACACUAGCAGUUCCAACUGUAGAUGAGCCCCCCUUGACUUCAGCAGAAUCCUGGGCGUUGUUCUAGAUAAACAAAAUGAAGUAUAUCAAAUCGGAACUAAGGCAGGAAUAAUAAAGGGUUGGUUUUCUCGACAGGAGAUAUAGAAAUCAGGAGCCAGUAUGAUUACUCUUCUGGAUGUUCGGAGAGAUAAUUUUCUUACCCUUAGAGAAGCAGCGGCGGCGCAAUCAAAAUGCGAGGGCCAAGGUUACAAAAAAUUUAACUGCAAAGUGACAAAAGAGCAAUGUUCGACAAAGCGGUGUUCUUGCUUCAAAGCCAAUAUGAAAUGCGGAUCUCGGUGCCACAAUUCUAAUCCUUGUGCGAAUAAAGACUGUUAACUACAUUUUUUUUCUAAAUGAAUUAUAACAAAUUUUCAAAUGAUUUAUAUAAUAUUAUUAUGUUAUAUGAUUUUCUAGCUGACUAUAAUAGUUUAAUAAAUAUGACGCGUUGAUAUAUUUCAUGGAUAUACAUUUGCUUUUUUUAUUAUUUGCCUGGAGAUCCGGCCGGCAUUCAAUUAGAUGCCGGCAUUUAAGUAAAUCCCUAGGCAGAUAAUGGUAAAUGAAAGACAUCAAUACGAUUUUCAUUAAAUGCCGGCAUUUAUUUAGAUGACUAGGCUUUUAAUUAAAUGCCCGAUUUUAUUAGAUGCCUACGACAUAUCUAUAAUAAAACGAUGUCCCUCCCCAAUUGCUGAUUAUAGCUUAGUCACAAAUUAAUACAUCAAGCUCAUGCCGUAGGUGGAUUAUGAUAUAUAUGUACGGCGAUGGUCUGUUGAAGCAGGUCUUUGCACUGCAGGGUACGAGGCCAACUAACAGCUUUUAAAGCAAUGAACAGAUUUACCUUGCAUAGCUAGGAAGCCCCGCUCAAGAGAUCCUCGUAAUAUUUACUUGUGAAUAUUUACUAAUGUUCUUAUCUAACAUAAUUACUGUGAAGUGCAUAUCCGGCAGGUCUGGAAAAGUGUUUCAUGACGUGGACUGGACCGGGCAACUGCUCUGACUACUGAGCUACCCAGGCCGCUGCCGAAACACUUUUCCAAACUGCUAUCUGACUAGCCGAGAAAUGCCAUGUUACAUUACAUAUUUUGAUUUUAUUUGACGAAUUGUGUUUAUUACAGUAUGUGACGUUAAAAUUCUCCAUAAAUUGACAUGACUCACAAAAAUUUUGCGCAAAACUUUUGUAUUAUAUCAAUGUAAAUUAUAUAGAAAUACAAGUUUUUACACAAAAUUGUUACUGCACUCGUAGAGUCACUGUACUGUUGGAGUUCCACUGCAAUAUUAUUCGUGUCACUACCGAUGUACUACACUAUAAUAAUUCAGCAUUAUCGAAUUACACGUUAAAGAAAAGUACUUUCAAAAAAAAAAUAACAAUAAUAAAAGCCGAUCUGCUGGUAUAUUAUUAUCCAUUGUGCUACAGAUGUAUGCGACUUUUUCCCGAAGCAUGAUUGUUGCAUUACCACUAUCACAUUUGGUAAAAGUAUUGAUUAAUACUGAUGGAUUAGUCUCUAAUCAUUAAUACUGUUGAAAUCCUCACUACCCUUCAAACUUAUUACGCUAGUGGAUUUCACUACUCCACAUUAUUUGCAACCAGUAGUAAUUCCGCAUACAGAAGUUUUUACUACAGAAACAAAAGAAUAAAAUAUACAUAUCAAUGAGUUUUAUGUGUCAUAUCAAAAAAUAAUCUUUUAAAUUAUUGAGUAAUGCUAAUGAAAUUUACGUUUAAAUGAACUUAUUUCCUGUGAAAUAGUUCAACUGAAACUCAUUUCAUACAUAAACUAAUGAAUGUAAAGAUUAACGUAAAAUCAACCUCCGUUCUCUGCGGUGGAGUGACAAAAUACAUUCGACUUUUGUAAUAGAUGGGUACAUUGAAGAAUACAACAUAAUUUGUUUGUAUAUCCAUCUUCUUCAUCUUUUGGACAUGAUAAAUGAUUUCAUUUUGUUUUAAUAGCCAAAUUAUUAAUCCCGUAUAAGCUGAUGAUCGUUAUAGAUAGGUCAUACCAUUGCAAAAAUUUUAUUUAGAUUUUGAGCCUCGCAACUGAUUGAAUGACUUAAAAAACUACAUUGAAUAUGAUUGCCUCACGUUCUUGCAUGUCAUUUUUAGCAACAGUCGUUUGUCGCAUCACCCUCAUCACAUAUAUGCUGAAAUAAGUCCAACUGCCAUACCAUACUUUGAUCCUAAGAACAUAUCUUCUGUUACGGUAUUACGUAUUCCAUGUAGUGAUCUGAAACUAAUUUAGGAAGAAAUUCAACUAGUUAUUUACAAAUCAUGACUGUUUAGCAAAAAAUGGUCUUGUUUGCAGUGAAGUAUCAUAUAAAUGAGGAAUUUUCUCAUCUUAUUUUCGCUUAGAACAAUCGCAUGAGCUCCUUAUCUUUCUUUGUGACUUGGUGCAUACUUUAGUAGACUAACCCUUAAAAACUGUUGCAUUAAAGUUGGACAUUGAUAUAUCGAAGAAAAUUUAUUAUACGUUAACAAGACACAUUAACGUACGUUUAACAGUGUACAAAUUGCAAUCAUCAUUAUUAUUUCAUGCUAUACAUAAAUUUAAGACUUGGUAUAUUUUUUGAUUAUUGGUGAAGAUAAAUUUACUGCAUUUGGAAACCUUUUCAAACACAUUUGAUGCUUGGAAUAAAAAAUGAACUAUGUGGUGUUUCUUAGCACUCUUUUGAAAUACAUCGUUUAUGUUAUAUGGGUUCGUGUGUAUAGUACAAGUAUAUAAUAUAAUACAAGUACAUGCAUAUAUGCACGUCGUGCAUAAAAAUUGAUCUUAUAUCGAAUUAUUCCACUUUGCCUCAUCACGACUAUUCAUGCAUACUUCGCGUAGUGUGAUGAUCUGUCUCAGUUGAUGAUUCCAAGUUUGACACACAUACAAAAGUGGCAAUUGCGUUUAUAUUAUCGUUUUAUACUAAACCAUUUUCUUUAAAACUAAAAAGUACCACGAUAGCUUCGCGUUUGAAAUAGUGCCUAACAAAUUACAGGUGCACGUCAGGCAGUGGAAUGGCACUAAUCAAUAAAUAAUAUUGAAAUUAUGGCUAAUUAUGUACAUUAUACAAGACUAUUGGGAUAGAGUUCUGGAUAUAUUAGCGUAAAUUAAAGUGAUUGCUGUUUCAUAAAACAAUCAUGAGUGUAAUAUUGUUUGUUUUAUUUUACAUUAAAACUAGUUGUUGAUCAUUGAUUCGUUUACACAUUUGUAAACUUAUUAGAAAAAAAUUAUGUACAUUCUUAAGCUGGUGCUCAACUGAUGAACUUUUUUCCAAAUCACCCGAGAACUUUAUUAGUGGAAUUGAUUUACGACAAAGUUUCACCUGAAGAUUCUAAUAUUUGACAGAUUGACAGCUGUGAAUUUCGUAUUGAAAUUCCCCAUACCAGAGAAUUCGUGUCAACUUUAAUGAAGAUUGUACACAAUUAAAUAAAUUUCUGUCAUUUUGCUUGUUAUAGUUUUUACAUCUUUUUUUAUAUAGAAUUCGGGUAGAUAUAAUACUGGCAAAAUAAUUGCACGCAGACUUUCCAUUUAGCUUAAGGCACAAUAUUAAAAGCCAAGAACUCAUAAAGGCUUAGCUUAUUAUUAGUAUAAAAUACUCCAUUUUCUUCCUUCAACUCCUAUUCGACCAAUUCAAUUAGUAACUCAUAU